UGUUGAGUUGACGAACCCAACACGGGAGUGACUGAACAAACUUGCUGGCAUAAGGCUAGUUAAGGUGAUGAGACACAGGUGGUGCUGCACGUUGAAAACGUGAAUCGACUUACCAGUCGGGUCUCAGACAGUAAGGUAAAAAUCUACUAAUGUAGCAAUGCCCCUUACUUGUUGGUACACAUUAUUCCAACCUCCCACACC
Molecule: non-coding RNA, 201 nt
Filed under: unclassified sequences
Description: manA RNA
Rfam family: manA RNA
About the family: manA RNA has been located in 5'UTR regions of genes of mannose or fructose metabolism. Has been proposed as a cis-regulatory element and as a riboswitch candidate for his complex secondary structure.
Source: RNAcentral